Molecule: long non-coding RNA, 2146 nt
Filed under: Sorghum bicolor (sorghum)
Lineage: Eukaryota; Viridiplantae; Streptophyta; Magnoliopsida; Poales; Poaceae
Description: long non-coding RNA (SBIC_LNC015978)
Source: RNAcentral
UGGAACACACCAUCUCCCCCACGUUCCACCACCUUCCCUGCUCAAUCGGGCUCAAUCCCGAUUUCCCCUAAUCUCCCUGCUGCCGUCGCCUUUGGAGCAGAGCUCCCGUUCCAAGCUACUGAGAGCUCCUCUAGCCAAAUUGGUGAGACAAGGUGAGUCUUGGACCCGUUCGUUACCUUCUCUAUCUACUAUAGCUCCAUCCCUCACUCUGUUGUGCCCUGACACCGUGCGACACUCCCGCCAUGCCAGACGGCAAGGCAUGGCCAAGAACACGAACACACGCAAAUUGAGAAGCACCCCAUUUAGCAUACUCACGUACACACGCAAACAUACCCGCACACACACCCACAUACACUCACAUCCGUAUAUAUAUCCCACACGCACACCAGCACAAACCUAGGCACUUAGUGCAGGAGCAAGCACGUCACCUCCACACCACGAUGCAAGCACAUGCUGGAGCCAUGGUCGGCGGCUGCCGCCGCCCAGCCACUCAAGGUCGCCACGCUGGAGCCAUGGAUGGCACCGCCGCCGUCCAGCCACCGGUGCCUUGUGUCACUGCAACGUGCACCGCCGAGCGCCUGAGCCACAGUCGCUUCCGCCACUUCCACCACGGCGAGCCCUCGCCGCUGCCGCAAACCCACUCACUCCGCCACCACUAGCCCCGAUGGACCAUGUGUCAGCGACAUGCUCCGUGAGUUCACAAUAGACUACAUGCAUAUAUUUUGCUAAAUCGUACGGACAGUGUACAUAGAAUGAUGGGAAGCUAUUCUUCUAAUAGAUAAUAAUUCUCAGAAAAUUCCUAAAACUACUAGAGUCACCUAAGAGCCUAUCCAUACUUUUCCCACGACCCUUUAUUCACUAAAAUAUUCCUAGAAAUUCUGCCAAGCUUCCAACCACAUAAAUCAUCUUAAAAAAACAUAUCACCUCCAUUUUAAAUCCGUCUUCCACUAAACCACCACCAAAAUUCCUCUAAAAUAUUGUUCUAUUUAUUUAAUACCACCAUUUAGUCCUUUGUUUGCCUUUGUAUUCGUUUUUAUGUAUUGAAAGGUAGUCUUAUGCGUUCGCGACGAUCGACAGAGGGCGACGACUACCAGGAAGGCGAGGACCCGGACUACGUCGGAUCGGAAAGUGAGUUGAACGAAGGCAAGUCCUAACUCUCUCUCUCCGCCACUACGUGUUGUACUAUUAAUAUUAUUAUAAAUUUAUAGUGAUGAAUAUGAAUAAAUAUGAAUGAGAUGCUUAAUGAGACUAAACUUGUUUUGACGGGAGCGAGUAGGAGUAAUUUAUGUGGAAUAAAUUACUUUGGUAGGUUCGCUUGUGUGGGUUCCUACAGGAGAUACUCGUUGCGGUCGUAUAAGGACCGGUUCAUAGGUCAUUUCACCUAGUCUGACAUACGUAUAGCUACAUGUCUAUAUGGGUAGACCUGGUCUCACACCCCGUUAGGUAGAAGUAUGAUUUCCACUAGGAGGCCGGUGUCGCAACGGAUUAACAGGAGAGGACACGGCUGCUGUGUGAUCUACCGUGAUCCAAUCGGCAUGGUUGCUAUGUGGUCUUUCAUGUAAAAAUUAUUGUCGUGGUGUGCGAGCACCCUUCUUUAUUAAUCUGGAUGAUAUGUGAUCAUCCACCGGAUGCUGUGUGAUCAUCCAACCACCCGAUAAUCUAGGAUGUUGUGUGAUCAUCCUGAUGAGAGUGGGUUCCGAUCCCUGAGUAGUCCGUAGUGGAAUUAUCUGAAACCUGAGGCAGCACCAUCCGGGUACGAGAUCUUGUUAGGCCUGUCGUGACCACUGAUCAUGGUUAGACUGUGUCUAUCGUGUGGGGAAAAUUGUACCCCUCUGCAGAGUUUAUCAAUCCUAUUCGAAUAGCCACGGCCUUGGUAAUGGGCAACCGCUAGGAUGAGAUCCCUGUGAUUAGAUUUUCUUAAAAUAAAAUAUGAUUAUUAUUGUUUAAUUGGUUAUUUAAUACUAAUCGGGAACUGGCGAGGAGAAUGAUGCUCUCCCAGGGCCCAACCCUUAUAUUAAAUAAUACUAUCACCUCCACCAACCACCCUGUUGGGGCUUGCCGAGUAGUCUGUGUACUCACUCAUUGUUGACUCACAGAUAAUGAUCCCGAGGAGAACUUCGACAUCGACGAGGAGGCAAACGACGAG